This 147-nucleotide transfer RNA is filed under the name Neoluteolibacter luteus. RNAcentral describes it as "Luteolibacter sp. G-1-1-1 tRNA-Gln". The record is from RNAcentral. Lineage: Bacteria; Pseudomonadati; Verrucomicrobiota; Verrucomicrobiia; Verrucomicrobiales; Verrucomicrobiaceae.
GCGGCGGGUAGCUCAGUCUGGUAGAGCAGUUACCAAGGAUCUUUCCAAUCUUGUCGCGAUUCAAAUUCUGCCCCUUUGACGGCGAAUGCCCGUGGAACUACAUCCCUGUUAAGGACCUGGUCGGCGGUUCGAGUCCGCCUCCGCGCA